RNAcentral lists this ribosomal RNA (497 nucleotides) under uncultured bacterium. RNAcentral describes it as "partial 16S ribosomal RNA". It matches the Rfam family "Bacterial small subunit ribosomal RNA", at positions 28 to 507 of the family's 1533-position model. The record is from RNAcentral.
GAUGAACGCUGGCGGCGUGCCUAAUACAUGCAAGUCGAGCGAACAGAUGAGGAGCUUGCUCCUUUGACGUUAGCGGCGGACGGGUGAGUAACACGUAGGUAACCUACCUAUAAGACUGGGAUAACUUCGGGAAACCGGAGCUAAUACCGGAUAAUAUUUCGAACUGCAUGGUUCGAUAGUGAAAGAUGGCUUUGCUAUCACUUAUAGAUGGACCUGCGCCGUAUUAGCUAGUUAGUAAGGUAACGGCUUACCAAGGCAACGAUACGUAGCCGACCUGAGAGGGUGAUCGGCCACACUGGAACUGAGACACGGUCCAGACUCCUACGGGAGGCAGCAGUAGGGAAUCUUCCGCAAUGGGCGAAAGCCUGACGGAGCAACGCCGCGUGAGUGAUGAAGGUCUUCGGAUCGUAAAACUCUGUUAUUAGGGAAGAACAAACGUGUAAGUAACUGUGCACGUCUUGACGGUACCUAAUCAGAAAGCCACGGCUAACUACGUG